CGGACGGGUGAGUAACGCGUGGGUAACCUGCCAUAUACAGGGGGAUAACAGCGAGAAAUUGCUGCUAAAACCGCAUAAGCGCACGGAGUCGCAUGACUCAGUGUGAAAAACUCCGGUGGUAUAUGAUGGACCCGCGUCUGAUUAGCCAGUUGGCAGGGUAACGGCCUACCAAAGCGACGAUCAGUAGCCGGCCUGAGAGGGUGGACGGCCACAUUGGGACUGAGACACGGCCCAAACUCCUACGGGAGGCAGCAG
RNAcentral lists this ribosomal RNA (255 nucleotides) under uncultured bacterium. Its description in RNAcentral is "partial 16S ribosomal RNA". It matches the Rfam family "Bacterial small subunit ribosomal RNA", at positions 99 to 354 of the family's 1533-position model. The record is from RNAcentral.